RNAcentral lists this ribosomal RNA (433 nucleotides) under uncultured bacterium. RNAcentral describes it as "partial 16S ribosomal RNA". It matches the Rfam family "Bacterial small subunit ribosomal RNA", at positions 29 to 507 of the family's 1533-position model. The record is from RNAcentral.
AGCGAACGCUGGCGGCAGGCUUAACACAUGCAAGUCGAGCGGGCACUUCGGUGUCAGCGGCAGACGGGUGAGUAACACGUGGGAACGUACCCUUCGGUUCGGAAUAACGCUGGGAAACUAGCGCUAAUACCGGAUACGCCCUUUGGGGGAAAGGUUUACUGCCGAAGGAUCGGCCCGCGUCUGAUUAGCUAGUUGGUGGGGUAAUGGCCUACCAAGGCGACGAUCAGUAGCUGGUCUGAGAGGAUGAUCAGCCACACUGGGACUGAGACACGGCCCAGACUCCUACGGGAGGCAGCAGUGGGGAAUAUUGGACAAUGGGCGCAAGCCUGAUCCAGCCAUGCCGCGUGAGUGAUGAAGGCCUUAGGGUUGUAAAGCUCUUUUGUCCGGGACGAUAAUGACGGUACCGGAAGAAUAAGCCCCGGCUAACUUCGUG